GGAUGGGUGGCAGAGCGGUCGAAUGCGGCGGUCUUGAAAACCGUUGUGGGGGCAACUUCACCGGGGGUUCGAAUCCCUCCCCAUCCGCCA
RNAcentral lists this transfer RNA (90 nucleotides) under Alphaproteobacteria bacterium. RNAcentral describes it as "tRNA-Ser". It matches the Rfam family "tRNA". From Rfam's summary of the family: Transfer RNA (tRNA) molecules are approximately 80 nucleotides in length. Their secondary structure includes four short double-helical elements and three loops (D, anti-codon, and T loops). The record is from RNAcentral. RNAcentral also lists the same sequence under 1 other name. Lineage: Bacteria; Pseudomonadati; Pseudomonadota; Alphaproteobacteria.